ACAAGUAUUUAUUGUAUAUUUGGUAUGUUGCUUAAAGGUGAAAUCUGUAAAAGGUCCUUUUUGAUACCCACAUCAAGGAAGAAACUUCCUAGAAACCAUAUUUAAUACUACAGAGUGAAAUUAUAUGUUAAAUGUAUUAGAGAAUAUAGCUGCUACAGAAAUGCAUUUUUUUCUUGGUGUGGAACAACUCAGUUUGGCAAAGUUUAAAAUUUAACUAAAGAAGAGACCUAAUUCAGGAUAAAUAUUGAACUAAUUAGAAAACUAGAUUGGGAUAUGAUCAAUUCCAAGAGCUUUUGCUCAGAGCUUUUUUUAUAUCUUAUGUUUUGUCUUAUUAGUGAACAUUCAUUUGUAACAAAGUUUUGAAGGUGCUGAGUGAAAAACAGAAACACGUGGUUAUUGCAUAUUGAACCUAGAAUCAAAUAAUUGCCUAAAUAUUUAACAAAAAGCCAUUCUUCUCUCAGAGAUUUAAAUUCUUUAAUAUCUGAUUUGCAAAUUUUAUAAAAUGGAGGUUCUUAUUUAGCAUGAGCGUCAGGGGAGUAAGGAGCUUUCCUUUAUAACCGGGUAAAUUGUUACUGGAUACCAAUAGUAGUUGUAUAGAAUACUAAGACAAACUGUUACAGUGUUUGAGGAAAUGGAGUCUCUUUUUCACUGCUACUGAGAGAGCACUUAAGUAGAAGACAGUUAUGUCUGAAUAUUAAAUAUAAAUAAUCUAAAC
This 715-nucleotide long non-coding RNA is filed under the name Bos taurus (domestic cattle). RNAcentral describes it as "long non-coding RNA NONBTAT000708". Lineage: Eukaryota; Metazoa; Chordata; Mammalia; Artiodactyla; Bovidae. The record is from RNAcentral.